Molecule: ribosomal RNA, 498 nt
Filed under: uncultured bacterium
Lineage: Bacteria
Description: partial 16S ribosomal RNA
Rfam family: Bacterial small subunit ribosomal RNA
Source: RNAcentral
AUUGAACGCUGGCGGCAUGCCUUACACAUGCAAGUCGAACGGUAACAGGUCUUCGGAUGCUGACGAGUGGCGAACGGGUGAGUAAUACAUCGGAACGUGCCUAGUAGUGGGGGAUAACUACUCGAAAGAGUGGCUAAUACCGCAUGAGAUCUACGGAUGAAAGCAGGGGAUCGCAAGACCUUGUGCUACUAGAGCGGCCGAUGGCAGGUUAGGUAGUUGGUGGGAUAAAAGCUUACCAAGCCGACGAUCUGUAGCUGGUCUGAGAGGACGAUCAGCCACACUGGGACUGAGACACGGCCCAGACUCCUACUGGAGGCAGAAGUGGUGAAUUUUGGACAAUGGGCGAAAGCCUGAUCCAGCAAUGCCGCGUGCAGGAUGAAGGCCUUCGGGUUGUAAACUGCUUUUGUACGGAACGAAAAGCCCCGGGUUAAUACCCUGGGGUCAUGACGGUACCGUAAGAAUAAGCACCGGCUAACUACGUGCCAGCCGCCGCCGUAA